Molecule: unclassified non-coding RNA, 431 nt
Filed under: Melitaea cinxia (Glanville fritillary)
Lineage: Eukaryota; Metazoa; Arthropoda; Insecta; Lepidoptera; Nymphalidae
Description: misc RNA ENSMCXG00005009699.1
Source: RNAcentral
CGAUGAGUGCGAUCACGUGGAGUGGUGCGCAGUGCACACUGCGCACGCCGGUUGAGUGACGGUUCAUUGUAAUUGGAUAUAUUGAGUGAGCUGUUAGAAACUACGGACUUAUACACAGUAUAACCAAUUACAAUGAAGAACGCCACUCAAUAUAACCAAUUACAAUGAAGAUCGCCACCGCACCACGUGACUGCACUGAGCAAUAGUAGUGACGUACAGCAACGUACAGCGGCGUUGAAGCGAACGAAAAAAAAUUAUGGAAAUACGAACAUUUAUCAUAUAGUACGAAGCAUUCUAUUUAUGGUCAGAAGAAACUUUAAAAAAAGGCAAAUUUCUCUUUUAACAAUAAAUUGGAUCAAUUUGCUGUUCGCCUCAAACAUUCCGGUUCUCCGCAAUCCUCAUCCAACUUCCACCAGCGAUCGGCCGAGUCG